GUGAUCAACCCUAGUCGAGGCUCUGGAGCCUCCAUUCAUCACGUUUCUGUAGAUUAUUUCCUAUUUGCUUAGUUUUCGCUUUGAAGCUUCUGAUUUAUUUAGUUGUGACUGUUUCAUGUAUAAAUUUAUACAUGGAAAGCCAGGAAGACAAAAAUUGCAAGUGUCAUAAUGCGACCGUUACAAAGUCCACUGUGAUUGCAUUUAAUUGCGACCAAAGCCGUUGGAUCAGGCUCGCUGAUAAGCGUGCCAACAGCCUGAGGCGAGACGUCAUUUAACUGGCAAGCACCCGUUCCCAUAAAAUAAAUUUCUUUCAGGCUUUAUAAAAGGAUAUGUACCACAUAUGUUGCUAAUUAACAUUUUCAUCUGAAAUUUGUAACAAGAACGAAAGGUAAACAAUCUUUUGAACGUUAUCAUUUUAAUGACUAUUCGACCAUUGAAUACUACCGCAUAAAUUUAAGUCAUCCGGAAACCUUGAGAGAUUUUUAUUUUAAUUCUAUAGAGUCCUGCUCUGUCUUCACAUGAUUGCAUAAUUAUAUCUGGACUUAAGGGGAGAUCACUGGCAAUUUUGUCAGGUUGGAUGGUAAAAGACUAAAUCGCCAUUGAACGCUACCGUAUAAAUUUAAGUCAUCCGGAAACCUUGAGAGAUUUUAAUUGUAAUUCUAUAGAGUCCUGCUCUGUCUUCGGUUCAUUACAUAAUUAUAUCUGGAAUUAAGGGGGCAUCGCUGGCAAUUUUGUCAGGUUGGAUGGUAAAAGGCUAAAUCGCCGCGAUGAUCCUAACUUUUUCAUUUGUGCCGAAAUGCCUUUUCCGCCUGGCAGCGCCCUUUCAUGCGACCCUCGCCCCUAAAUCCCCUGGCCCAUUGUGGCCCUUCGUCUCCACGACGUUAUUUUCUCGUUCGUCGGAAUAGAUGGAUUCGCGAACGCGCGUUUACUUUAUGCCUUUUCAAGCGUGUAUCAUCGGCAGACAUUGCGCGUGCGCUUUUGUAACGCCGGCACCAAAGGCUAUAGAUGCUAGGUAAGUGCCCCAUUCUCUUCUCCAAUCAGCGUUAACACUCGCGGGGACAGCAGUCGUUGAGACCGUAUAAUUUAAUCGCUUCGAUUUGGUCCGGUUAAGUUGAACGUUAACGAUAGUACGCGGCUGUUUAUAAUAGGACGAUUCCACCCUUAACGAAUACGUUGGUGCAUCGAGGAAUCCCGGAUUGGAUUAAUUUCCAUACUUUAGUAGAUUGAAAUGAUUUUAAAAAAGAAAUCGACUGGUGGCGUUGCUAGUUAUUGUUUUAUGGUUUGAAUAAAUUAUUUCAUAGAAUAGGAAAGACACUGGUGGCUCUGAUUUUAUUUAGGCAAUUCCGUACGAAACACUACUCCUCUCGAAGUAUUAUAUGUGAAUAAACACAAUUGUACAUUUAUUGCUCAGGAUCUAUAUACAUUUUUUAUGUUUAAUUGUGAUUAUUGUACUUUCAUUUGAAAUAGAAAAAUCGGAUAUGUUCCAUACCACUUUAACGGGAAAACCCUUUAUUUUUAUGAUGAAGAUAUUUGUCUUUCGUAAAACAUUGUGGAAAAGGAACGGGCCCCUCAAACUAGAGUCUGAGGCCAAGAGGUAACUAAUCAGAAAAUCAAUGUGUCAAGAGAUUUCGUUCAAAGAAGAAAGAAGAAGAAAACGAAUUAGUAAAGUUGAGGGGAUCCCAAAAUCAAACAACAGAAUAUUGAUGUCCCGAACUCUCUGUGUAAACUGCGAAAGUCCUUUCAUGUAUCGACUGUGCUGUGCUCGAAUUAAACCUAGAGUGCGCUGUUGUACCGUCAUCCGCCGGUAAUGCAGGUCCGAAGACGCAAAAAUUCCCUAGAUCUCUCAUGAUAACACGACAGGAUUA
This is a long non-coding RNA of Hylaeus anthracinus, 1865 nucleotides long. RefSeq lists it as uncharacterized. The transcript is spliced from 4 exons. Lineage: Eukaryota; Metazoa; Arthropoda; Insecta; Hymenoptera; Colletidae. The record is from RefSeq and is a predicted model, not a curated record.